This 253-nucleotide ribosomal RNA is filed under the name uncultured bacterium. RNAcentral describes it as "partial 16S ribosomal RNA". It matches the Rfam family "Bacterial small subunit ribosomal RNA", at positions 524 to 776 of the family's 1533-position model. The record is from RNAcentral.
UACGGAGGGUGCGAGCGUUGUUCGGAAUCACUGGGCGUAAAGGGCGUGUAGGCGGUCUGUUAAGUCUGAUGUGAAAGCCCGGGGCUCACCCCCGGAAGUGCAUUGGAUACUGGCGGACUCGAGUCUCGGAGAGGAGGGUGGAAUUCCAGGUGUAGCGGUGAAAUGCGUAGAUAUCUGGAGGAACACCGGUGGCGAAGGCGGCAUCCUGGACCAACACUGACGCUGAGGAGCGAAAGCCAGGGGAGCAAACGGG